This 414-nucleotide ribosomal RNA is filed under the name uncultured bacterium. RNAcentral's name for it is "bacterial SSU rRNA". It matches the Rfam family "Bacterial small subunit ribosomal RNA", at positions 502 to 918 of the family's 1533-position model. The record is from RNAcentral.
UUCGUGCCAGCAGCCGCGGUAAUACGAAGGGACCUAGCGUAGUUCGGAAUUACUGGGCUUAAAGAGUUCGCAGGGGGUUGAAAAAGUUGGUGGUGAAAUCCCAGAGCUUAACUCUGGAACUGCCAUCAAAACUUUUCAGCUAGAGUAUGAUAGAGGAAAGCAGAAUUUCUAGUGUAGAGGUGAAAUUCGUAGAUAUUAGAAAGAAUACCAAUUGCGAAGGCAGCUUUCUGGAUCAUUACUGACACUGAGGAACGAAAGCAUGGGUAGCGAAGAGGAUUAGAUACCCUCGUAGUCCAUGCCGUAAACGAUGUGUGUUAGACGUUGGAAAUUUAUUUUCAGUGUCGCAGCGAAAGCGAUAAACACACCGCCUGGGGAGUACGACCGCAAGGUUAAAACUCAAAUGAAUUGACGGGG